Molecule: ribosomal RNA, 337 nt
Filed under: Garreta nitens
Lineage: Eukaryota; Metazoa; Arthropoda; Insecta; Coleoptera; Scarabaeidae
Description: partial 16S ribosomal RNA
Source: RNAcentral
AAAGUCUGGCCUGCCCUAUGAAUAUUUAAAUGGCUGCGGUACUCUGACCGUGCAAAGGUAGCAUAAUAAUUAGUUUCUUAAUUGGGAACUGGAAUGAAAGGUCGCACGAGAAAAAGACUGUCUCAAUUUAAUUUAAAUUAGAAUUUUAUCUUUAAGUAAAAAAGCUUAAAUACUAUUAAAAGACGAGAAGACCCUAUAGAAUUUUAUAAUUUUAUUUAUAUUUGAAAGUUAAAGUAUUUUAGAUUUAGGUAUAUAUUGAAAUUAUUUGGUUGGGGCGACUAAAAAAUUGAAAGAACUUUUUUUAUUACUAAACAUUAAUAUAUGAGUAAGUGAUCCA